UUAGUAUCAAUGCUACCCAUUUGUAUAGAAAAUAUGGAGGCCACGCAUUAAUUGCUACAGGUGUCGAUGCCAAUGGUGGUUUAUUUCCGCUAGCUUUCGCAAUUUGUAAGGGGGAGAAUGGCUCGAGUUGGGAGUGAUUUUUAAGUUGCCUAAGAAGGUAUAUAACAAGAUCUCGAGUUAUUACACUAAUAUCAGAUCGUUUUAAAGGGCUAGCGAACCUCGUUGCACUUGUAUUCCCACCAUCUGAAGGUCAUACUCAUCGAUGGUGUUUGCGACAUAUGAAGGCCAAUAUGAAUAUUCAUUAAAAAGCAAAAUACUUACUUAAAAUAUUUUAUCGAAUUGGGAAUGCUUCAAAAGAACGACAAUAUUACGCAUUAAAGGAAGAAUUGAAGGCUAUGGAUGAAGAAGCUUAUCUUUUGGUUGACAAUCUUCAUAACGAUAGGACAUACUGGGCUAAAGCUUUUGAUGGUGGUCGACGAUUCGGUAUUAUGACAACUAACCGAUCAGAAAGUUUAAAUGGGGUGUUGAGGGGAGUUUGCGCCUUACCAAUUACAGCUUUUGUGAUGACAACGUUUCAUCGAGUAGUAGAAUUUUUUCUAAAACAUCGGGCGGAGGGCGCUGCAAUGUCUACGCAAUGUCUCGACUGUUGAAAACACCAUCAAUAGCCAGAUGAGAAGUACUAGAGCAUAUACAGUUCGACGAUUUGGAUUUCACGAGUUCGGGCGGAGGGGGAAGGUCGAGUGUUGUUAUUUCGGGACAUUACUUCAGAUAUAGGCAUGGGACCACCUAUACAUUGGCCGCCCUGAGAUAGUAGGACCGCAGCCAAAGUUUGCCAACAUGCUACUAGGGUGUCGGUGGAAUACCAGGCUAGCUUUUCGGGACAAUGUCGGGGCUACUGACAUUGAGUUUUAUCAUGAUCAGCUGGAUCAGCAAUUAGAGUCUCAGAUUACAUAGAGGCCUUAUACAGACACAGUGUUAGAGACGCUCCCAUCUUUUUGUCUGGCGGGGUCCCAAGUUUGGCGAUCGAGUACCACCUUAGUCUGUUUCCACAUUAUUGAGCUGCAUCAUCCGGAUCGUGUGCUUCGACAGUUUGGGCUAUUACAGCAUAUACCUGAAGCAGUGCUUGCCAUACCUCGCAUCAAUUCACGAGGUAGAACAGAUGAGGAUUGGGCGGCAUACCAUGCUUCAUACAUUCAGCGUUGGAAUGAUAGAUUGGUAGAUAUAGCAGAGGUGGACCCUGAGAUAGAUCCAGAUCCUAUACGAGCUACCACUAUUUACAUGCAGUGGUAUUGGACGAUCACCAUGGGGUAGAUAUCUACACCUGUACAAAGGCCACCCCUCGCGUAUCACCCACGUGGUCACGUCGAGAGUAUUGGUCGAUAUCGUGCAGAGAUCACAUUAUACGAUCAGAUGUGUCUGCCGGAUAUUCCAGGAGGUGGAGUAUUAGAUGCCCUAUCACACGUUGCCGAUCAGAUGGAAACAGUUUUGGAGACUUUACCUACGCUUCCACACACUGUACCUCCACGAUCAGCAGACUAUGGUGGAGCAUCGACGUCCGGCCAUGCACCAGUAUAUAGUCCACCGAGGCCAUCAUCACCGAUAGAGGAGCCACCUUAUGUUAUGGACACGGCACCAGCACCAGUACCAGAGGAUCCACCUCGGCCUAUUGAUAUUGUUUAUCAUAGGCACCGACGACACAUGCGGUAUCAUCAUACAGAUCAGCCCUCUUCUUCAGCUCCUCCGCGGCCAGACAUAGUACCGACACCUACUAUGAUUGAGCACUAGAUCGGACGGGUGAUCGAGACGCAGGACACUCAGCCGGUUAUUGAGGGUGCUGCUAUCGAGCAUCUCGACCAAUUGGAGAUCUUAGAGCCUUUUGAUGAGCAUGGUGUUGAUCGUGGUCGCAGACGUAGUGGACGACGUGGUCGAGGGAGUAGGAGGAGAUCAUGAUAUUAUAUUUCUAUAUUAUUGUAAAACUUGCUUUAAUUUUUGAUAUUCUGUUGUGAUUAUCUAGUAUUAAUGCUUUAUUAAGAUUCUGUUGGUACUGAUGUGUGUAUUGUU
This is a long non-coding RNA of Ananas comosus (pineapple), 2061 nucleotides long. RefSeq lists it as uncharacterized. NCBI's taxonomy places the organism in Eukaryota, Viridiplantae, Streptophyta, Magnoliopsida, Poales, Bromeliaceae. The transcript is spliced from 5 exons. The record is from RefSeq and is a predicted model, not a curated record.